AACGAACGCUGGCGGCAGGCCUAACACAUGCAAGUCGUACGAGAAGGUUCUUCGGGAACUGGAGAGUGGCGCACGGGUGAGUAACGCGUGGGGACCUACCUCUUAGUGGGGGAUAACGGUUGGAAACGACCGCUAAUACCGCAUACGCCUUCGGGGGAAAGAUUUAUCGCUAAGAGAUGGACCCGCGUUGGAUUAGAUAGUUGGUGAGGUAACGGCUCACCAAGUCAGCGAUCCAUAGCUGGUUUGAGAGGAUGAUCAGCCACACUGGGACUGAGACACGGCCCAGACUCCUACGGGGAGGCAGCAGUGGGGAAUAUUGGACAAUGGCGCAAGCCUGAUCCAGCCAUGCCGCGUGAGUGAAGAAGGCCUUCGGGUUGUAAAGCUCUUUCAGAUGCGAAGAUGAUGACGGUAACAUCAGAAGAAGCCCCGGCUAAUUUCGUGCCAGCAGCCGCGGUAAUACGAAAGGGGCAAGCGUUGUUCGGAUUUACUGGGCGUAAAGGGCACGCAGGGCGGUCCUGCCCAGUCAAGGGGGUUGAAACCCGG
Molecule: ribosomal RNA, 543 nt
Filed under: uncultured Thalassospira sp.
Lineage: Bacteria; Pseudomonadati; Pseudomonadota; Alphaproteobacteria; Rhodospirillales; Thalassospiraceae
Description: bacterial SSU rRNA
Rfam family: Bacterial small subunit ribosomal RNA
Source: RNAcentral